GAGGGGGGCCUACCGGGGCAGUAGGACCUGCUAAGCCCUACACCCGCGGUUAAAUUCCGCGGACCGCUCG
Molecule: transfer RNA, 70 nt
Filed under: Escualosa thoracata (white sardine)
Lineage: Eukaryota; Metazoa; Chordata; Actinopteri; Clupeiformes; Clupeidae
Also listed under: 1 other name
Description: tRNA-Ser (AGY)
Source: RNAcentral